Molecule: transfer RNA, 65 nt
Filed under: Flavobacterium sp. Root935
Lineage: Bacteria; Pseudomonadati; Bacteroidota; Flavobacteriia; Flavobacteriales; Flavobacteriaceae
Description: tRNA-Val
Source: RNAcentral
GGGCGAUUAGCUCAGCUGGUUCAGAGCACCUCGUUUACACCGAGGGGGUCGNCAAGAAACUCCUU